CUAAGUAUAAGCAAUCUAUACCGUGAAAACUGCGAAUGGCUCAUUAAAUCAGUUAUCGUUUAUUUGAUAGUACCUUACUACUUGGAUAACCGUGGUAAUUCUAGAGCUAAUACAUGCUAAAAACNUCGACUUCGGAAGGGGUGUAUUUAUUAGAUAAAAAACCAAUGCCCUUCGGGGCUCCUUGGUGAUUCAUAAUAACUUAACGAAUCGCAUGGCCUUGUGCCGGCGAUGGUUCAUUCAAAUUUCUGCCCUAUCAACUUUCGAUUGUAGAGUAGUGGUCUACAAUGGUUUCAACGGGUAACGGGGAAUUAGGGUUCUAUUCCGGAGAGGGAGCCUGAGAAACGGCUACCACAUCCAAGGAAGGCAGCAGGCGCGCAAAUUACCCAAUCCCGACACGGGGAGGUAGUGACAAUAAAUACUGAUACAGGGCCCUUUUGGGCCUUGUAAUUGGAAUGAGUACAAUUUAAACCCUUAACGAGGAACAAUUGGAGGGCAAGCCUGGUGCCAGCAGCCGCGGUAAUUCCAGCUCCAAUAGCGUAUAUUAAA
RNAcentral lists this ribosomal RNA (546 nucleotides) under Phialocephala fortinii. RNAcentral describes it as "SSU rRNA". It matches the Rfam family "Eukaryotic small subunit ribosomal RNA", at positions 59 to 608 of the family's 1831-position model. Lineage: Eukaryota; Fungi; Ascomycota; Leotiomycetes; Helotiales; Mollisiaceae. The record is from RNAcentral.